AACGAACGCUGGCGGCAUGCCUAACACAUGCAAGUCGAACGAGACCUUCGGGUCUAGUGGCGCACGGGUGCGUAACGCGUGGGAAUCUGCCCUCUGGUUCGGAAUAACUCAGGGAAACUUGAGCUAAUACCGGAUAAUGACUUCGGUCCAAAGAUUUAUCGCCUGAGGAUGAGCCCGCGUCGGAUUAGCUAGUUGGUGAGGUAAAAGCUCACCAAGGCGACGAUCCGUAGCUGGUCUGAGAGGAUGAUCAGCCACACUGGGACUGAGACACGGCCCAGACUCCUACGGGAGGCAGCAGUGGGGAAUAUUGGACAAUGGGCGAAAGCCUGAUCCAGCAAUGCCGCGUGAGUGAUGAAGGCCUUAGGGUUGUAAAGCUCUUUUACCCGGGAUGAUAAUGACAGUACCGGGAGAAUAAGCCCCGGCCAACUCCGUGCCAGCCGCCGCGGUAA
This 449-nucleotide ribosomal RNA is filed under the name uncultured bacterium. Its description in RNAcentral is "partial 16S ribosomal RNA". It matches the Rfam family "Bacterial small subunit ribosomal RNA", at positions 29 to 523 of the family's 1533-position model. The record is from RNAcentral.